UGCAUUUCUUAGAAGUAUAUCACUUGAAGCUAUUGGACUUGGGGUGCAUUUGGCAGCGGGAGCUCACGAGAUUUUGCUCCAAGCAGAAUAUAUUCUCACAAGGAUUCCUCCUGUAUCAUGGCCUGUAAAAGCCAAAACAAAGCCUAAUGUGAGAUAUAAUCAGCCAAAAAGUGCCCAACAAGGAAUUCAGCAGGCAUAUGAGAGCCUCAGUGAUGGCCUAGGUAAAUCUGCUUCUGCUUUAGUUCAGGCACCAUUGAAGAAGUACCAGCGCGGAGCUAGUGCAGGAUCUGCCUUGGCAAUUGCUGUACAGGGUGUUCCCGCUGCUACUAUAGCUCAAGUUUCUGCAUGUGCAAGUGCAGCACAUUGUACUCUUCUUGGACUAAGAAAUAGCCUUGAUCCCGAGCACAAGAAAGAGUCCAUGGACAAGUAUUUGGGUCCUACUCAGCCAUGCGAUAGGAAUUGAUCCAAUGUAUGGAUUUCACCUUAACACAACAGACUGAUGUAUCUUGCCAUCCUAUCCGGAAUUCUCUUUGUAGUCAUGGUAGUCUGUAUGUCAUGUG
This 560-nucleotide unclassified non-coding RNA is filed under the name Hevea brasiliensis (rubber tree). Lineage: Eukaryota; Viridiplantae; Streptophyta; Magnoliopsida; Malpighiales; Euphorbiaceae. The record is from RNAcentral.